RNAcentral lists this ribosomal RNA (465 nucleotides) under uncultured bacterium. RNAcentral's name for it is "partial 16S ribosomal RNA". It matches the Rfam family "Bacterial small subunit ribosomal RNA", at positions 28 to 507 of the family's 1533-position model. The record is from RNAcentral.
GACGAACGCUGGCGGCGUGCUUAACACAUGCAAGUCGAGCGAGGCCCCUCCUUCGGGAGGGUGUCCUAGCGGCGAACAGGUGAGUAACACGUGGGCAACCUGCCCUCAGCUCUGGGAUAACUCCGGGAAACCGGGGCUAAUACCGGAUACGACCUCCACGGGCAUCUGCGGAGGUGGAAAGUUUUUCGGCUGAGGAUGGGCCCGCGGCCUAUCAGCUAGUUGGUGGGGUAGUGGCCCACCAAGGCGACGACGGGUAGCCGGCCUGAGAGGGCGACCGGCCACACUGGGACUGAGACACGGCCCAGACUCCUACGGGAGGCAGCAGUGGGGAAUAUUGCGCAAUGGGCGAAAGCCUGACGCAGCGACGCCGCGUGAGGGACGAAGGCCUUCGGGUUGUAAACCUCUUUCAGCAGGGACGAAGCGAAAGUGACGGUACCUGCAGAAGAAGCACCGGCCAACUACGUG